CUAAAAGGUUGUGUGCUCAUGUCCACAGUAUUCAGCAAAAUAAUCGAGGCUGAUAUUCUAGUGCAAUACUCAGAAUGCUGCAGAGUUGGAGGUCCCAUCUUUUUGGAUGAGAUAUUAAACUGAGGCCUUGUCUACUCAGGUGUCAGUGCUUCAAGGCCAUUGGCAAAAUCAUAUUUUCCUUUUUUGCAUGGAGAUGUCAGCUCUACUUGUAUGCAAUGGACUAAACAUACUAUUUUACAAGGAAAUAACAAAGAAAUCAGAGAAAUGGUGGUGAAAGUUGCUAACAAUCUUGUCCAACAAAGAACACAGCAUCCACUGGAAGCAUCUGAAUAAAAAAU
Molecule: long non-coding RNA, 338 nt
Organism: Rhincodon typus (whale shark)
Lineage: Eukaryota; Metazoa; Chordata; Chondrichthyes; Orectolobiformes; Rhincodontidae
Exons: 3
Source: RefSeq, a predicted model, not a curated record